CAGCAGUAGCCGCGGGAAUACAGAGGGUGCGAGCGUUAAUCGGAUUUACUGGGCGUAAAGCGUGCGUAGGCGGCUUCUUAAGUCGGAUGUGAAAUCCCUGAGCUUAACUUAGGAAUUGCAUUCGAUACUGGGAAGCUAGAGUAUGGGAGAGGAUGGUAGAAUUCCAGGUGUAGCGGUGAAAUGCGUAGAGAUCUGGAGGAAUACCGAUGGCGAAGGCAGCCAUCUGGCCUAAUACUGACGCUGAGGUACGAAAGCAUGGGGAGCAAACAGGAUUAGAUACCCCUGUAGUCCCUGUCUCUUAUAC
This 304-nucleotide ribosomal RNA is filed under the name uncultured bacterium. RNAcentral describes it as "partial 16S ribosomal RNA". It matches the Rfam family "Bacterial small subunit ribosomal RNA", at positions 506 to 807 of the family's 1533-position model. The record is from RNAcentral.